Molecule: ribosomal RNA, 519 nt
Filed under: uncultured bacterium
Lineage: Bacteria
Description: bacterial SSU rRNA
Rfam family: Bacterial small subunit ribosomal RNA
Source: RNAcentral
GGAAGAGUUUGAUCCUGGCUCAGAUUGAACGCUGGCGGAAUGCUUUACACAUGCAAGUCGAGCGGCAGCGCGGGGCAACCUGGCGGCGAGCGGCGAACGGGUGAGUAAUGCAUCGGAACAUGUCCAUGUCGUGGGGGAUAGCCCGGCGAAAGCCGGAUUAAUACCGCAUACGCCCGAGAGGGGAAAGCAGGGGACCGCAAGGCCUUGCGCGAUUGGGUUGGCCGAUGUCCGAUUAGCUUGUUGGUGAGGUAAAGGCUUACCAAGGCGAUGAUCGGUAGCUGGUCUGAGAGGAUGAUCAGCCACACUGGGACUGAGACACGGCCCAGACUCCUACGGGAGGCAGCAGUGGGGAAUUUUGGACAAUGGGGGCAACCCUGAUCCAGCCAUUCCGCGUGAGUGAAGAAGGCCUUCGGGUUGUAAACCACUGUCAGAGGGGAUGAAGGGCAUGGGAGCUAUCUCCUGUGUUUGACAUAGCCUCAGAGGAAGCACGGGCUAAGUUCGUGCCAGCAGCCGCGGUAA